AUUCAAGGUUACAACCACAAAAAUAGUGUUUUUUUAUAGGUUGACUCAGCACAACUUCGAAGAACUUUGCUUGCAAAGAAACUUUUUGAAUAACGGGCGAACAAUGAACAUUUUGGUGCCCUAAAAGGGUCAAUUACAAGGGUCAUAACUGAGAUUUAGAUGAAGUUCUUAAAGCUCUUAUCAAGUAUUUCUGUUACUGUUUUUCAUAAAACAGAUUCGCUUUUUAAAGGGGAAAACACAAAGUUGUUAUUUUGGGAAAAUUUUUGAUAUUUUCCCUCAAAAAUGUUUUGCAUUGUUUCCUGAGUGAGCAAAAAGUAGCAGAAAAAAAUUCUCUAUUUCCCCCUUUUUUUACUUUUCUCUUUUUCCCAUCCCUUUUUUCCCUUUUCCCCUACCCUAUGAGGGAAAAAUGUUUUUUCAUUCCCCUUAGAGGUUUUCAGACAUAUGUUUUGCAGGUUGAAGUGUCUGCAAAUUAAAUGUUCUCAUCUAUGAAGAUUGUUCAGCACAUAUCUGUGAAGCUUGUGGAUCAAUAUCAGUUUUCUUUGAUUUGAAAAAAUCGUUGAAAGCUUGAUAUGUUUCUUUUUGUUGGUUAAGCACUCUUGUAUUUCUAUGUCUGUUUCCAGAUGUUAAAAUACCUGAUGUGCUGGAUUUGUGUGCCGACUGUUAAAUUGUAAAAUUUAAUAAAUUGUAGGAUUUAUUAGUCAUUGAUAUUUAAAUCCUAAUUUUGCAGAUUAAAAAUGGUUUAAAACGGUUUACGCUACAAUUUGGCAGUUUAUUAAGUAUACCUAUACUUGAGCUGAUUACAGAUUGUGGACAACAAUGUCGGUCUGGGCUGCAAAAUCAUAUGCAGGCAGCUACAGAGGUAGAAUGGUAGCUAAGCCUGGGCCAAGAAUGGCAGAAAUUAUCGAAGAUGAUAAAGUUACAUUUAAAGAAGAAAUCUCUACUGCAGAGGAUACGUGUACUGUAUUUGUAGUGGGAGAAGAUGUAAAAAAGGAAAUUACAGAAAAUCAAGGUGAAGUUGUAAAGAUUGAAGAAAAGAGACUUAAAAAGAAGAAACUGAGAGAAAAAAGAGAAAAAAGUGGGAAAUCCAGUCAUUUGAAUACACAUAAUUAAAGUAAACAUGAAGGAAUGCGAUAUCCUUGCAAUCAAUGUGAAUACGCUGCUACUGCAGCAAGUCGUCUGAAGAAUCAUAUAGAAUCUAAACAUGAAGGUAAGGUAAGAUAUCCAUGCGACCAAUGUGAUCAUACUGUUACUACUGCAAGAAGUCUGAAGUUACACAUUGAAUCUAAACAUGAAGGAGUGAGAUAUCCCUGCGAUCAAUGUGAUCAUGUUGCCACUAGAGCAGAUGAUCUAAAGAAGCAUAUUGAAUCUAAACAUGCAGGCGUGAGAUAUCCUUGUUCUCAUUGUGAAUUUGCUGCCACUCAACCAACUAGUCUAAAGAAACAUAUUGAAAAUAAGCAUGAAGGAGUGAGAUAUCCUUGUUCUCAUUGUGAAUACGCUGCCACUCAACCAUCUAGUCUGAAGAAACAUAUUGAAAAUAAACAUGAAGAAGUAAGAUAUCCCUGCGAUCAGUGUGAGUACACUGCCACUACAUUAGGAAAUCUAAAGAUACAUAUUGAAUCUAAACAUGAAGGAGUAAGUUAUCCAUGCGAUCAGUGUGAGUACACUGCCACUACAUUAGGAAAUCUGAAGAUACAUGUUGAAUCUAAACAUGAAGGAGUUAGAUAUCCAUGCGAUCAAUGUGAAUACGCUGCCACUAAAGCAUGGGCUCUGAAGAGACACAUUGAAAAUAAGCAUGAAGGAGUGAGAUAUCCCUGCGAUCAGUGUGAUUAUCUUGCUACUGCAUCAUAUAAUCUCAAAAGACACAUUGUAAGGAGACAUGAAGGAGUAAAAUACCUUUGUUAGUAGUGAUAUUCUACCUUUACCGAGCAGUAUCUCAUUAUUAUUAUUAUUAUUGAGAUCAGUGUGAGCUCACUGCCACCACAGCAGGUUGUCUAAAGAAACACAUUAUAAAUAAACAUUGAGAAGUGAGAUAUCCAGUGUAAAUAUCAUGUCAUUAAAAACACAUUAAAAGAAGAAACAUUAAUUAAUAAGUACUUUGCACUGUAAACUGCAAAUUGUCUAUUCUCUUGUUUAUUUUGGGUUUUCCUCGCUUAUCUUUUAUUUAAAGCAGAAAAUGGAAAAUUUAAAAAAAAAUGGUGGGAAAUAAAAUUUGUAAUUUUUAAAAUGUAUUUGGUAAUUUUUACCCCAUA
RNA transcript from Eurytemora carolleeae, 2249 nucleotides. It is a transcript of the gene named transcriptional repressor CTCF, with no coding region annotated. The transcript is spliced from 4 exons. Lineage: Eukaryota; Metazoa; Arthropoda; Copepoda; Calanoida; Temoridae. The record is from RefSeq and is a predicted model, not a curated record.